GACGAACGCUGGCGGCGUGCUUAACACAUGCAAGUCGAGCGAGAAAGCUCCUUCGGGAGUGAGUACAGCGGCGAACGGGUGAGUAACACGUGGGCAACCUGCCCCAAGGAGCGGGACAAC
RNAcentral lists this ribosomal RNA (120 nucleotides) under uncultured bacterium. RNAcentral describes it as "partial 16S ribosomal RNA". It matches the Rfam family "Bacterial small subunit ribosomal RNA", at positions 28 to 147 of the family's 1533-position model. The record is from RNAcentral.